UACGGAAUAAUUAGUUGGAAACGGCAACUAAUACCGUAUACGCCCGUAACGGGGGAAAAAUUUAGUUGCUAUUAGAUGAGCCUAUAUUAGAUUAGCUAGUUGGUGGAGUAAUAGCCUACCAAGGCAAUGAUCUAUAGCUGAUCUGAGAGGAUGAUUAGCCACACUGGAACUGAGAUACGGUCCAG
RNAcentral lists this ribosomal RNA (185 nucleotides) under uncultured bacterium. RNAcentral's name for it is "partial 16S ribosomal RNA". It matches the Rfam family "Bacterial small subunit ribosomal RNA", at positions 137 to 334 of the family's 1533-position model. The record is from RNAcentral.